RNA transcript from Gopherus flavomarginatus (Mexican gopher tortoise), 1793 nucleotides. It is a transcript of the gene named spermatogenesis associated 6, with no coding region annotated. The record is from RefSeq and is a predicted model, not a curated record. The transcript has 14 exons. Lineage: Eukaryota; Metazoa; Chordata; Testudines; Testudinidae.
GCGGCGCGGCGCACCCUGUGCGGGCCCGGAGCCACCCUCCCCCCCCCCCGCCCGGUCCCCCAAUGCCGCGGAAGGCGCUGGUCUGCGGCCUGGAGCUGGAGCUCCGCUCGAUAACUUGCCCUGGAGUAUUGCUGAAAGACAAAAGUGAACUCUAUCUCAGCGCCUGUGUGUUUGGACAGUACAAAAGGACUCAAUGUGUCCCUGCAGCAUUUCCACUCUUCUUAGAAGAGAAACUAGUAUUUGAAAAGGUAUUUACUGAUGUAGUUGAUCCUGGAAAACUUGUUGAGCUACUUCAAUUUGACACAGCAGUACUUGAACUAAUACAGCUUGUUCCUCCAGUGGGAGAAAUUCUAGCCACUUAUGAAGAAAAUACAAGAGAUUUCCUGUUCCCUGAUCCUAAGCUUACUCGUGGGCACCAUGGUUCAGAUCGUGAAGUUUUAAUGAAGCGGUCUUCUAGUUUUACAGGAAUUGCACCAAAAUUGAGAUUUUCUACCAGCUCCCUUAUUACAGAAAGCCUGUUAAGUUCAGGAAGGAUUCAUGUACAGGAUAAUUUGGAUCGGGUGCAUCAUUCAGCUCCAAAUGGAAGAUUACAAACAAGGUCACCAAAGAAAAACACCUCUUCACCUGAGAAAAACCGACACUGCUUAGCAACAAAGAACUAUGAGCAGCCCACAAUAGCUUCUAAAUCACGAUCUCCAUCUCCAUACACAAAAAGACGAAUGUGUGAGCUAUCGGAAGAAGCCAGACAACGACUGGCCCAUUUAAACCUGGGGCCUUUUGAAUUCAGAAGAGAAACCGAUAAACCUCCAUUUGUAGUUAGACAUAUUGAACAUCCGAGCCCCACUGUUGAUGAUCAUACUUGGCGUCCUACCAGAGACAGUGGACGAGAAAGUUGGUCCAGGGUAUCUUAUAAUCCUUCUCUUCUUGGCAGCUAUAGACCCAAGCAUACUAAAAUUAUCAGGUCUCAUCAUGGGAAAGACUUAGAUGGCUCUUCUGACAGCUGUGAUGAGCACCCGAUCUCGGGUACUGCUACUAGGCAAUUUCAUUCUACUAGUUCAUUAAUACGUCCAGCACCCUCCUCAUUGCAGAAACAUUCCACAAGUCCUGUACUAAACCGUUCUUCUCUUAGAGAAAGAUUUAACUUUGGUUGGUCUACACCAGCAAAUGGAGAAGAAAUCCAUAAACGAGUGAAAAACAUUUUAAGGACACACAGUGCUAGGCAAAGGCUAACAUUUGAUGAGAGUAACUCAUCAAAAGGAGACUCAAGUAAGACAAGAGACGUUUCGUGUAAAGACUCAUUAUGUGGCAGUGAACUACAGAGCAGGCAAAAAUGGCCACCAGUAAACUUCACAUGCCCAGUUUAUUUUCCCAUCCAGAAGAUGGUAGGGUUGGGAUCUGAACCUUUAGAGAACAGGGGUAAACAUUUCAAAAACAUCUAACUCAUUUAGAUGUGUUUGAAAAAUUUACCCCAGAACUGAUCGUUACCUUUUUAAUUUUUGAUGAUCUAAUUUCAAAUAUAAUAUAAUAUAAAAUCAAACUGGUUGCGUGUAUUAUAAUGCAAUCGUUUAUUUCAAAGGUUCUAACAUAAAGCAAACAAUCCAUGAAGCUCAGAUAUAUAAGUGCAUUAAAAUCUGUCAGUGCUUGGUAAUGAAGACUUUCAGAGGAUAAAUUCUACUUGAUGGUUCUAGGAAAAUGAAUUCUGGAAGCUACUGUUCAUCAGCUCAGCAGAACACCACCGUUCACUUGGAUAAUGGUGAAUAUUGGUCCAACCGUGCAGCUGUGUACAAAGGAAA